This 246-nucleotide ribosomal RNA is filed under the name uncultured bacterium. Its description in RNAcentral is "partial small subunit ribosomal RNA". It matches the Rfam family "Bacterial small subunit ribosomal RNA", at positions 26 to 286 of the family's 1533-position model. The record is from RNAcentral.
AGAAUCAACGCUGGCGGCGUGCCUAACACAUGCAAGUCGAACGAGAAAGGGGAGCAAUCCCUGAGUAAAGUGGCGCACGGGUGAGUAACACGUGACUAACCUACCCUGGAGUGGGGGAUAACUGAGGGAAACCUUAGCUAAUACCGCAUAACACCUACGGGUCAAAGGAGCAAUUCGCUUUGGGAGGGGGUCGCGGCCGAUUAGUUAGUUGGCGGGGUAAUGGCCCACCAAGACAGUGAUCUGUAU